GAGCGCCCCUUCGGGGGAUAGACGGACGGGUGAGUAACGCGUGGGAACGUGCCCUUUGGUACGGAACAACUGAGGGAAACUUCAGCUAAUACCGUAUGUGCCCUUCGGGGGAAAGAUUUAUCGCCAUUGGAGCGGCCCGCGUUGGAUUAGCUAGUUGGUGGGGUAAUGGCCCACCAAGGCGACGAUCCAUAGCUGGUCUGAGAGGAUGAUCAGCCACACUGGGACUGAGACACGGCCCAUACUCCUACGGGAGGCAGCAGUAGGGAAUCUUGCGCAAUGGGCGAAAGCCUGACGCAGCCAUGCCGCGUGAAUGAUGAAGGUCUUAGGAUUGUAAAAUUCUUUCACCGGGGAAGAUAAUGACGGUACCCGGAGAAGAAGCCCCGGCUAACUUCGUGCCAGCAGCCGCGGUAAU
Molecule: ribosomal RNA, 412 nt
Filed under: uncultured bacterium
Lineage: Bacteria
Description: bacterial SSU rRNA
Rfam family: Bacterial small subunit ribosomal RNA
Source: RNAcentral